UCGGAGCUCAUUUGCAUGAGCGCUCCGCUUGGCCGCACCGCCACGUCUUGAUAAAUCUGGACUCUUUCCACGCACUGGGCUGGAAAAGUGCAUCAAGAUGUGGCCUGCACCAGUGCUUCUGCUCGUCCAGUCGGCUCUGCUGAUUCAAGGAUCUUCCGCCCAGGAUUCUCAGAUCCAGACGGACAAAAUCAAGUAUGUCAGUCUUGGUGGGACGGUGACCAUCAGCGCCAAAGGUUCUUCUCUCAGUUGGUACCAAGUGAAACCUGGACAGGUUCCUAAACUUCUGAUCUAUGAUGCAACAAGUCGCUUUACUGGAACACCACCUCGAUUCAGUGGCACACGAUCUGGCUCUGACUACACUCUGACUAUCACUGGUGUUCAGGCAGAAGAUGUCGCUGAUUACUACGGUUUGGCCUUUGUUGGAACUGGAAGGUUCUGCGCCAAGUUCUCCGGCAUCAAGCAGUAA
This is a non-coding RNA of Nerophis lumbriciformis (worm pipefish), 466 nucleotides long. The record is from the annotation of a RefSeq genome assembly. Lineage: Eukaryota; Metazoa; Chordata; Actinopteri; Syngnathiformes; Syngnathidae.